Rosa chinensis is the source of this 1323-nucleotide long non-coding RNA. RefSeq lists it as uncharacterized. The record is from RefSeq and is a predicted model, not a curated record. NCBI's taxonomy places the organism in Eukaryota, Viridiplantae, Streptophyta, Magnoliopsida, Rosales, Rosaceae. The transcript has 5 exons.
UCCAACAGAACCCCACACAUGAAUGAAGCAAAAAUGUAAUGAAAAUCUGCAAUUCUAAUGAAGCACACCGGAACUAUCAAAUCUUUCAGUCCACAUCCACCUAAUACUGAUAGGAGAUAGAAUGGUCUCCAGUUCAAGAAUAAACUCCUUUGCUAUCUAGGAUAUAAGUGCAACUCAACCUCCAAAAACACGCUCUCACAGCUCUGUUUGAUAAAUUUUUAAUGUCUUCAUGUAUUGAGCCAACUGCUGUGAUUAAAGAGGCCCAUCUUACCCCACCAGAAUAGCAUUCGAUUUGUGGAAAGACUGCUUCAAGGAGCAUCCUACAUCAGUUCUGAAUAUUAAAGAUGAAGUAUCCAUUUAGGACAAGUAUGUACAUGUAACAGCAGCAAUGAUACACAUAGUUAGAUGCGAGAUACUUAGAAGUUAAAUCAUGUAAAGUGAUAUCAAUUCUGAAAUUUGAUCAUCAGCUAUUUUACCUUGCAGGGCCUGAACUCAUGUCCACAAAGAAAGGAAAGUUUGUUUGAUUUGAAGUUAUUGAAUCUGGUGAGAAAUCCAUCAAGCUAAUUUCUCUGUCUCUAAUGCAAUCCCCAUAAUCAUCUUAACUAGAAUCAUACUAACUUUUUGACACUACCAUCACAUCACCAUCAUGUCUGAUUUCCUAACUUCUCUGAUACUUCAAAUCACAAACAAAUCCUUUGCAUUCCAAGGCUCACAUCACUCAUCCUCGCAGGUAAUUCCUAUAGUAUGCAUGGAAUCAAAUUUCUUAGCUACAUCUUUGAAUUCUAUCAAUACCAAUAAAUCUAUUAUUCUUUAUAUCUGGAAGAAGAAAACAGAAGAAGAAGGAAGAAAAGAAGAAGAGGGGAACAUGAACCUUUCAACGAAAUCAUCAACCUCAGCAGUCCAAUACUAAGGUAAACUAAUUCAAUUUCUUGGUGAUUGAUCGAAUCUUGAAUUUAUUUUCAUGAUUGAUCAAGUAGUUUGAUUGAUGUGAUUCUUCGAAUUCUGCAUUUUAUAGUUGUUCGUAGCUGUCCAACAAGUAUGGAGUCUUGUAAAGAACUCCAUGACUCUAUACUUGAGGAUGAAGCCAAGUUAUACCCUUUUGUUAAACAUGAUGUAUCCAUUACUGUAAUCGAAACAAGCUCUCAUAUUUUGGACCUCUGAGUAAGACAUAUACAUUUAUGUUUAAGACAAGAGUCACAACAUUUUCCAAAGAAAAGUUCUCCAGAGAUGACAUUCAAAUUAAAAACUGGGACAUACCAUUUUCGCCAUUGCUUUUAUCUUUUAAAUCUAUGAAUACAAAAAGGAAUUCAAAGAUUACUACUC